UAAAAACUUGCUGGUUUUACGGCUCAGGGGGCAUCACGGAACCUGCCGACAUGUGAUGUCUCCCCCGGACACCCAGCUUUAAAAUUUCUCUCUUGUACUCUUUCCCUUUAUUUCUAGACCGGCCAACACUUAGAGAAAUAGAAAAGAACCUAUGUGAAAUAUCGGGGGCUGGUUUCCCCUGAUAGUGAAGGAGACAGGUUAGAUACACUGGAGCUUCCACACAGGAGAGAGGGAAGGAGCUGGAGAAGAAGGUGAGUUGGAAGAUUUGGGGGUUUUGUUUUUAAGUGAGAGAGCUUUGAAUAGGUUUAAUGCUGAUGGUGGGGAUCCAGUUAAGAGAAACACUGAAAAUUAACUAGAGGGAAAGGUAACUGACAGUAUAGAGUUCCUAAGAACCCAAGCAGUAAAUUCUAGCCUAGCUGGGGGUGGAGUGUGAAGAAGUGAAGAACCUUUUUUAUUUUUUUUUUAAUGGGCUGGGUGUGAAGCUACAUUUGUAGUUUUGUGGCAGGAAGUUCCCUUACUGUAACUUCUAUAUUUUCUGUGAAGCAGAAGACAAGAACUCUGUUCAAAGUUAGGGAGAUGAUAGAUUGAGGGCUAGAAGAGUAAGGCAGGCUUGAAACAAUCAUUGUCACGAAUGGGAGUUGACCAGAGAUUAGUAACGUUGCUGGGCCAUGUGUAGGGGCCCAUUUGAAACCAGCGAUUACAAAUGUGCAGUGGUUCCAGGCCGUGCGGCUGUGUGAAUCUACCUGAUGACCCUCGGCUGCUUGGGUACUGCCAUGGAUAGCGCAUGUGUUGGCUUUGUCCAGCUUUGGGCUUUUUCCCACAUUGAUUUUAAAAAGACAGGAGCCACAGAUUUUGGAGUACUGCAAAAUGACUUUCCAAAUUGAUGAACCAUGGACUCCAAGCUGGAUAGACACAGAAAUGAAAAGAAGGGACUAAUAGGGAAUAAGACGUGUGAUCCAUGGCCCGAUGGCCCUGAUGGACGUGAAGAUCCACUGUUGUGGGAGGAGUGGAACACUAACACUGAAUGAUGGAGGCUGUGGUCAGAAACAGUAGCUGAAUAUAACUGGCCAGUGCAGAAGAGCCUAUGAAGGUGGAAAAUGGAGGAAGGAGGACCCCAUGCUGGAGAAGUGAUGGAGAUUUGAAGCCUUGGAAGAUGGCGGCAAGGGAGAUGCCAGAGAUGAGACAAUGUUAAACAUCUGUAAUCUAACAGUCUUCUAUGGGAGUUUAUUACAUUUCCAUAUCCUAUGUUCACUUCUAGUGAAAAAUAAAAAUAAAAUCUUAAGCCCCCCACAGCUGACUAAAUGGAUCCCAUUGUGAAAGGAAAAUAUCUUGAGCCUCCAAAAUCACUAAGGAAAAUUCAAGCUGGAAACUUCUUAGGACAAACCUGCCUCCCAUUCUCUUCAAAGUUAUUCCUCUGCUCGAGGAGCUAGAUGCAUAUCUGAUUGCCGCCUUUGGAAAGGCUAACCAGAAACUCAAAAGAAUGAUACAGUUUGUUAUCACCUACCUGUGACCUGGAAGCUCCCUCCCUCCCCACUUGAGUCUUCCUGCUUUUGUUUCAAGCUGUCCUGCCUUUCCAGACCAAACCAAUGUACUUCUUACGUAUAUUGAUUGAUGUCUCACUCAUGUCUCCCUAAAUCGUAUAAAACCAAGCUGUGCCCCAACUACCCUGGGCAUGUGUCAUCAGGAUUUCAUGAAGCUGUGUCACGGGCGCAUUCCCCAACCUUGAAAAAAUAAACUUUCUAAAUUAACUGAGACCUGUCUCAGAUUUUCUGGGUUCACAUUGUUUUCGUCAAGGGGACUCCCCAAGUAACUUUGAAAACUGAGUUCUAGGCUGUGAGGGGAUGGGAGGUCAGAGGUCAGACGCACCUUGCUGCACACCUCCACCUCGCUAACCCCCUUAGGCUUUCUUCCCUAGGGGCUAAACAGAAACCAGCUCUUUCCUUUUUUUUUUUUCUUUUUUUUUAGAGACGAGUCUUGCUCUGUCACCCAGGCUGGAGUGCAGUGGUUCGAUUUUGGCUCACUGCAACCACCACCUCCCAGGUUCAAGCAAUUCUCCUGCCUCAGCUUCCCAAGUAACUGCAACUACAAGCACAUGCCACCAUGCCCGGCUAAUUUCUUUUGUAUUUUUAGUAGAGAUGGGGUUUCACCAUGUUGCCCGGGCUGGUCUUGAACUCCUGAGCUCAGGCAAUCUGUCCGCCUCAGCCUCCCAAAGUGCUAGGAUUACAGGCAUGAGCCACUGCACCCAGCCAAAACCAGCUCUUUCAAAAGACUCCAGUGCUGAUAUCAACAACUGCCUGAGGCUUCCCCACCCUUUUGCAGUUUCCACAUAACAAUUAACCAGCAUUCCCUCCUGAUAAGAGACAACACCCCGCCCGCCGACGCAGAGCGGUUCUGGCCAGUCUUCAGAGGCUGCACACAGAGAGCCUGCGUGUCCCUGCUUUGUCUUUCGAUGUAAAAGGCCUAACUGUCAUGCAUUGAAAUGUGAAGUCUCCAGCCCAAAGUGAACAUGGGACACAUGCUGCAUGCAUGUUAGCCUGCUACACAUGCAUGAUCCUCUUCAUGAAUAUUCAUAGCUCCUCCUGUAAUCUGUUGAAUAUGUAUACUUAGCCAAC
This 2612-nucleotide long non-coding RNA is filed under the name Homo sapiens (human). RNAcentral's name for it is "PREDICTED lncRNA (TCONS_00209556)". The record is from RNAcentral. Lineage: Eukaryota; Metazoa; Chordata; Mammalia; Primates; Hominidae.